AGCAUAUCAAUAAGCGGAGGAAAAGAAACCAACCGGGAUUGCCUCAGUAACGGCGAGUGAAGCGGCAAGAGCUCAAAUUUGAAAGCUGGCUCCUUCGGGGUCCGCAUUGUAAUUUGCAGAGGAUGCUUCGGGUGCGGCCCCUGUCUAAGUGCCCUGGAACGGGCCGUCAGAGAGGGUGAGAAUCCCGUCUGGGAUGGGGUGUCCGCGCCCGUGUGAAGCUCCUUCGACGAGUCGAGUUGUUUGGGAAUGCAGCUCUAAAUGGGUGGUAAAUUUCAUCUAAAGCUAAAUAUUGGCCGGAGACCGAUAGCGCACAAGUAGAGUGAUCGAAAGAUGAAAAGCACUUUGAAAAGAGAGUUAAACAGCACGUGAAAUUGUUGAAAGGGAAGCGCUUGCGACCAGACUCGCCCGCGGGGUUCAGCCGGCAUUCGUGCCGGUGUACUUCCCCGUGGGCGGGCCAGCGUCGGUUUGGGCGGCCGGUCAGCGGCUCCCGGAAUGUAGCGCCUCUCGGGGCGCCUUAUAGCCGGGGGUGCAGUGCGGCCAGCCUGGACCGAGGAACGCGCUUCGGCACGGACGCUGGCAUAAUGGUCGUAAACGACCCGUCUUGAAACACGGACCAAGGAGUCUAACAUCUACGCGAGUGUUCGGGUGUCAAACCCGUGCGCGCAGUGAAAGCGAACGGAGGUGGGAGCCCCCUGAGGGGCGCACCAUCGACCGAUCCUGAUGUCUUCGGAUGGAUUUGAGUAGGAGCGUAGCUGUGGGGACCCGAAAGAUGGUGAACUAUGCCUGAAUAGGGCGAAGCCAGAGGAAACUCUGGUGGAGGCUCGCAGCGGUUCUGACGUGCAAAUCGAUCGUCAAAUUUGGGUAUAGGGGCGAAAGACUAAUCGAACCAUCUGGUAGCUGGUUCCUGCCGA
Molecule: ribosomal RNA, 911 nt
Filed under: Aspergillus candidus
Lineage: Eukaryota; Fungi; Ascomycota; Eurotiomycetes; Eurotiales; Aspergillaceae
Description: LSU rRNA
Rfam family: Eukaryotic large subunit ribosomal RNA
Source: RNAcentral